This 253-nucleotide ribosomal RNA is filed under the name uncultured bacterium. Its description in RNAcentral is "partial 16S ribosomal RNA". It matches the Rfam family "Bacterial small subunit ribosomal RNA", at positions 524 to 776 of the family's 1533-position model. The record is from RNAcentral.
UACGUAGGGGGCUAGCGUUGUCCGGAAUCAUUGGGCGUAAAGAGCGUGUAGGCGGCUCGAUAAGUCCGCUGUGAAAGUCCAGGGCUCAACCCUGGGAUGCCGGUGGAUACUGUCGGGCUCGAGUCCGGAAGAGGCGAGUGGAAUUCCUGGUGUAGCGGUGAAAUGCGCAGAUAUCAGGAGGAACACCAAUGGCGAAGGCAGCUCGCUGGGACGUGACUGACGCUGAGACGUGAAAGCGUGGGGAGCAAACAGG